GUACUCGCUUCGGCUGUACAUACGGUACUAAAAUUGGAACGAUACAGAGAAGAUUAGCUUGGUCCCUGCGAAAGGACGACACGCACAAGCGUGAAGCGUUCCACACUUAA
Molecule: small nuclear RNA, 110 nt
Organism: Cryptotermes secundus
Lineage: Eukaryota; Metazoa; Arthropoda; Insecta; Blattodea; Kalotermitidae
Source: RefSeq, a predicted model, not a curated record